RNAcentral lists this ribosomal RNA (465 nucleotides) under uncultured bacterium. RNAcentral describes it as "bacterial SSU rRNA". It matches the Rfam family "Bacterial small subunit ribosomal RNA", at positions 28 to 492 of the family's 1533-position model. The record is from RNAcentral.
GACGAACGCUGGCGGCGUGCCUAACACAUGCAAGUCGAACGAAGCUUGACGAACGAUUCUUCGGAUGAAUUCUGAUAUGACUGAGUGGCGGACGGGUGAGUAACGCGUGGGUAACCUGCCUCACACAGGGGGAUAACAGUUGGAAACGGCUGCUAAUACCGCAUAAGCGCACAGUACCGCAUGGUACAGUGUGAAAAACUCCGGUGGUGUGAGAUGGACCCGCGUCUGAUUAGCUAGUUGGCAGGGCAACGGCCUACCAAGGCGACGAUCAGUAGCCGACCUGAGAGGGUGACCGGCCACGAUUGGGACUGAGACACGGGCCCAAAACUCCCUACGGGAGGCAGCAGUGGGAAUAUUGCACAAUGGGGGAAACCCUGGAUGCAGCGACGCCGCGUGAGCGAAGAAGUAUUCGGUAUGUAAAGCUCUAUCAGCAGGAAGAGAAAUGACGGUACCUGACUAGAAGCA